CGGAAUGAGUACACUCUAAACCCUUUAACGAGGAUCAAUUGGAGGGCAAGUCUGGUGCCAGCAGCCGCGGUAAUUCCAGCUCCAAUAGCGUAUAUUAAAGUUGUUGCGGUUAAAAAGCUCGUAGUCGAAUUUGUGUUUCGCGCCGCCGGUUCAUCGUUCGCGGUGUCAACUGGCGUGUCGCGAGACGUCCUGCCGGCGGGCUUAGCCUUUCGGGGCGGCCCAACUCAAUCCCGCCGCGGUGCUCUUUGUUGAGUGUCGAGGUGGGCCGGCACGUUUACUUUGAACAAAUUAGAGUGCUUAAAGCAGGCUAAAACUUCGCCUGAAUACUGUGUGCAUGGAAUAAUGAAACAGGACCUCGGUUCUAUUUUGUUGGUUUUCGGAACCCCGAGGUAAUGAUUAACAGGAACGGAUGGGGGCAUUCGUAUUGCGACGUUAGAGGUGAAAUUCUUGGAUCGUCGCAAGACGGACAGAAGCGAAAGCAUUUGCCAAAAACGUUUUCAUUGAUCAAGAACGAAAGUUAGAGGUUCGAAGGCGAUCAGAUACCGCCCUAGUUCUAACCAUAAACGAUGCCAGCUAGCGAUCCGCCGACGUUCCACAUAUGACUCGGCGGGCAGCUUCCGGGAAACCAAAGCUUUUGGGUUCCGGGGGAAGUAUGGUUGCAAAGCUGAA
This 669-nucleotide ribosomal RNA is filed under the name Platynaspis luteorubra. Its description in RNAcentral is "SSU rRNA". It matches the Rfam family "Eukaryotic small subunit ribosomal RNA", at positions 510 to 1141 of the family's 1831-position model. The record is from RNAcentral. Lineage: Eukaryota; Metazoa; Arthropoda; Insecta; Coleoptera; Coccinellidae.